CAUGUACUUCCUCCGUUCCGAAUUAUUCGUCAUAGAAGUAGAUGUAUCUAGAUGUAUUUUAGUUUUAGAUACAUCCAUUUUUACGACGAGUAAUUUGAAACGGAGGGAGUAUGUA
Triticum urartu is the source of this 115-nucleotide non-coding RNA. The record is from Rfam. NCBI's taxonomy places the organism in Eukaryota, Viridiplantae, Streptophyta, Magnoliopsida, Poales, Poaceae.